GAUGAACGCUGGCGGCGUGCCUAAUACAUGCAAGUCGAGCGAACGGACGAGAAGCUUGCUUCUCUGAUGUUAGCGGCGGACGGGUGAGUAACACGUGGAUAACCUACCUAUAAGACUGGGAUAACUUCGGGAAACCGGAGCUAAUACCGGAUAAUAUUUUGAACCGCAUGGUUCAAAAGUGAAAGACGGUCUUGCUGUCACUUAUAGAUGGAUCCGCGCUGCAUUAGCUAGUUGGUAAGGUAACGGCUUACCAAGGCAACGAUGCAUAGCCGACCUGAGAGGGUGAUCGGCCACACGGGAACUGAGAGACGGUCCAGACUCCUAGGGGAGGCAGAAGUAGGGAAUCUUCCGCAAUGGGCGAAAGCCGGACGGAGCAACGCCGCGUGAGUGAUGAAGGUCUUCGGAUCGUAAAACUCUGUUAUUAGGGAAGAACAUAUGUGGAAGUAACUGUGCACAUCUUGACGGUACCUAAUCAGAAAGCCACGGCUAACUACGUG
RNAcentral lists this ribosomal RNA (497 nucleotides) under uncultured bacterium. RNAcentral describes it as "partial 16S ribosomal RNA". It matches the Rfam family "Bacterial small subunit ribosomal RNA", at positions 28 to 507 of the family's 1533-position model. The record is from RNAcentral.